RNAcentral lists this ribosomal RNA (408 nucleotides) under uncultured bacterium. Its description in RNAcentral is "bacterial SSU rRNA". It matches the Rfam family "Bacterial small subunit ribosomal RNA", at positions 28 to 412 of the family's 1533-position model. The record is from RNAcentral.
GAUGAACGCUGGCGGCGUGCCUAACACAUGCAAGUCGAACGGAGUUCUUAAGGAAUGCGGCUUCGGCUAAAUGACUUUUGGAACUUAGUGGCGGACGGGUGAGUAACGCGUGAGCAACCUGCCUUUCAGAGGGGGAUAACAUUUGGAAACAGAUGCUAAUACCGCAUAAGAUUACAGUACCGCAUGAUACAGUGAUCAAAGGAGCAAUCCGCUGAAAGAUGGGCUCGCGUCCGAUUAGAUAGUUGGUGAGGUAACGGCUCACCAAGUCGACGAUCGGUAGCCGGACUGAGAGGUUGAACGGCCACAUUUGGGGACUGAGACACGGCCCAGACUCCUACGGGAGGCAGCAGUGGGGAAUAUUGCACAAUGGGCGAAAGCCUGAUGCAGCGACGCCGCUGGAGAGAAGGU